CCUACGGGUGGCAGCAGUCGAGAAUCAUUCACAAUGGGGGAAACCCUGAUGGUGCGACGCCGCGUGGGGGAAUGAAGGUCUUCGGAUUGUAAACCCCUGUUAUGUGGGAGCAAAUUAAAAAGAUAGUACCACAAGAGGAAGAGACGGCUAACUCUGUGCCAGCAGCCGCGGUAAUACAGAGGUCUCAAGCGUUGUUCGGAAUCACUGGGCGUAAAGCGUGCGUAGGCGGUUUCGUAAGUCGUGUGUGAAAGGCGAGGGCUCAACCCGCGGACGGCACAUGAUACUGCGAGACUAGAGUAAGCGAGAGGGAACCGGAAUGCUCGGUGUAGCAGUGAAAUGCGUAGAUAUCGAGAGGAACACUCGUGGCGAAGGCGGGUUCCUGGACAUUAACUGACGCUGAGGCACGAAGGCCAGGGGAGCGAAAGGGAUUAGAUACCCCAGUAGUC
This 446-nucleotide ribosomal RNA is filed under the name uncultured bacterium. RNAcentral's name for it is "partial 16S ribosomal RNA". It matches the Rfam family "Bacterial small subunit ribosomal RNA", at positions 338 to 795 of the family's 1533-position model. The record is from RNAcentral.